CUACUGAUCUGGCAGGGGAAUACCACGGUCAAAUAAGUGGUUUGCACAGGGUCAGGUUUAUCCACAAGAUUCUGGGUAUGUAGAACCUUGCAAUUUACACAAACGUGGGAAACUCAAAUGCAUAAUUUGAAGCAUUAUGUAUGGGACUGCAUU
RNAcentral lists this small nuclear RNA (153 nucleotides) under Microtus ochrogaster (prairie vole). RNAcentral's name for it is "U1 spliceosomal RNA (ENSMOCG00000004063.1)". It matches the Rfam family "U1 spliceosomal RNA". Rfam says of the family: U1 is a small nuclear RNA (snRNA) component of the spliceosome (involved in pre-mRNA splicing). The record is from RNAcentral. Lineage: Eukaryota; Metazoa; Chordata; Mammalia; Rodentia; Cricetidae.